GGGCUUAUAGCUCAGUGGACUAGAGCACGUGGCUACGAACCACGGUGUCGGGGGUUCGAAUCCCUCUUUGCCCG
This 74-nucleotide transfer RNA is filed under the name Nephroselmis astigmatica. RNAcentral's name for it is "tRNA-Arg". It matches the Rfam family "tRNA". From Rfam's summary of the family: Transfer RNA (tRNA) molecules are approximately 80 nucleotides in length. Lineage: Eukaryota; Viridiplantae; Chlorophyta; Nephroselmidophyceae; Nephroselmidales; Nephroselmidaceae. The record is from RNAcentral.